Molecule: ribosomal RNA, 940 nt
Filed under: uncultured prokaryote
Description: bacterial SSU rRNA
Rfam family: Bacterial small subunit ribosomal RNA
Source: RNAcentral
AAUGACGGUUCGGGAGCCUACACAUGCAAGUCGGACGGUAGCACAGAGGAGCUUGCUCCUCGGGUGACGAGUGGCGGACGGGUGAGUAAUGUCUGGGGAUCUGCCCGAUAGAGGGGGAUAACCACUGGAAACGGUGGCUAAUACCGCAUAACGUCGCAAGACCAAAGAGGGGGACCUUCGGGCCUCUCACUAUCGGAUGAACCCAGAUGGGAUUAGCUAGUAGGCGGGGUAAUGGCCCACCUAGGCGACGAUCCCUAGCUGGUCUGAGAGGAUGACCAGCCACACUGGAACUGAGACACGGUCCAGACUCCUACGGGAGGCAGCAGUGGGGAAUAUUGCACAAUGGGCGCAAGCCUGAUGCAGCCAUGCCGCGUGUAUGAAGAAGGCCUUCGGGUUGUAAAGUACUUUCAGCGGGGAGGAAGGCGAUGAGGUUAAUAACCUUGUCGAUUGACGUUACCCGCAGAAGAAGCACCGGCUAACUCCGUGCCAGCAGCCGCGGUAAUACGGAGGGUGCAAGCGUUAAUCGGAAUUACUGGGCGUAAAGCGCACGCAGGCGGUCUGUUAAGUCAGAUGUGAAAUCCCCGGGCUUAACCUGGGAACUGCAUUUGAAACUGGCAGGCUUGAGUCUCGUAGAGGGGGGUAGAAUUCCAGGUGUAGCGGUGAAAUGCGUAGAGAUCUGGAGGAAUACCGGUGGCGAAGGCGGCCCCCUGGACGAAGACUGACGCUCAGGUGCGAAAGCGUGGGGGAGCAAACAGGAUUAGAUACCCUGCUAGUCCACGCCGUAACGAUGUCGACUUGGAGGUUGUUCCCUUGAGGAGUGCUUCCGGAGCUAACGCGUUAAGUCGACCGCCUGGGGAGUACGGGCCGCAAGGUUAAAACUCAAAUGAAUUGACGGGGGCCCGCACAAGCGGUGGAGCAUGUGUUUUAAUUUCGAUGCAAC